This 253-nucleotide ribosomal RNA is filed under the name uncultured bacterium. RNAcentral's name for it is "partial 16S ribosomal RNA". It matches the Rfam family "Bacterial small subunit ribosomal RNA", at positions 524 to 776 of the family's 1533-position model. The record is from RNAcentral.
GACAGAGGGGGCAAGCGUUGCUCGGAAUCACUGGGCGUAAAGGGCGCGUAGGCGGGAUGGCAAGUCGGUCGUGAAAUCCUUCGGCUCAACCGAAGAACGUCGGACGAUACUGCCGUUCUUGAGGGAUGCAGAGGAGAUUGGAAUUCCCGGUGUAGCGGUGAAAUGUGUAGAGAUCGGGAGGAACACCGGUGGCGAAGGCGGGUCUCUGGGCAUCUCCUGACGCUGAGGCGCGAAAGCGUGGGGAGCAAACGGG